GACGAACGCUGGCGGCGUGCUUAACACAUGCAAGUCGAGCGCUGAAGAGCGGUACUUUUACGUAGUGGAGGAGCAGUGGACGAGGGAUUAACGAGUGGUGAGUAUGCUUUUGCGUGGUGGUCAAUAACUGGAAAAGAAUGUUAAUACUGCAUGAAAUCUUUAGACACUCGCAUUAUGUGUGAAGGAUGCAUUUGCAUCACUUAAGGAUGAUGCUGCGUUGUAUUAGCUUGUUGGUGAGGGUGAGGGUCACCAAGGCGAUGAUACAUACCCGACCUGAGAGGGUGAUCGGCCACAUUGGGACUGAGACACGGCCCAAACCCCUACGGGAGGCAGCAGUAGGGAAUCGUCGGCAAUGGACGAAAGUCUGACCGAGCAACGCCGCGUGAGUGAAGAAGGUUGUCGGAUCGGAAAACUCUGUUGGUAGAGAAGAACGUUGGUGAGAGUGGCAAGCUCAUCAAGUGACGGUAACUACGCAGAAAGGGACGGCUAACUACGUG
Molecule: ribosomal RNA, 497 nt
Filed under: uncultured bacterium
Lineage: Bacteria
Description: partial 16S ribosomal RNA
Rfam family: Bacterial small subunit ribosomal RNA
Source: RNAcentral